Molecule: long non-coding RNA, 117 nt
Organism: Sander lucioperca (pikeperch)
Lineage: Eukaryota; Metazoa; Chordata; Actinopteri; Perciformes; Percidae
Exons: 3
Source: RefSeq, a predicted model, not a curated record
AAAGUUUCAUCAGGGAAAUGUACUUAAACUGCAUCUAAUUUCUCUGUCUUACCCCUUCCCCUUAGUUUUGCACGUUCACGUGAGAGUAAGGGCUAUCCCAAAUAUCAUUUUGAUCGA